UACGUAGGGGCCUAGCGUUUGUCCGGAAUUAUUGGGCGUAAAGAGCUCGUAGGCGGUUCGGCAAGUCGGAUGUGAAAUCUCCACGCUUAACGUGGAGGGGCCAUUCGAAACUGCUGUGACUCGAGUCCGGUAGGGGAGUGUGGAAUUCCCGGUGUAGCGGUGAAAUGCGCAGAUAUCGGGAGGAACACCAGUAGCGAAGGCGGCACUCUGGGCCGGUACUGACGCUG
RNAcentral lists this ribosomal RNA (227 nucleotides) under uncultured bacterium. RNAcentral's name for it is "partial 16S ribosomal RNA". It matches the Rfam family "Bacterial small subunit ribosomal RNA", at positions 524 to 748 of the family's 1533-position model. The record is from RNAcentral.